RNAcentral lists this long non-coding RNA (641 nucleotides) under Solanum tuberosum (potato). Its description in RNAcentral is "long non-coding RNA (STUB_LNC002948)". The record is from RNAcentral. Lineage: Eukaryota; Viridiplantae; Streptophyta; Magnoliopsida; Solanales; Solanaceae.
CAAAAAGAAACAGAUUUAAGAAAAAAUACAAGGUAGACAUUAUUCUUAUAAGACUGAUACAUAUAUAGAUGAAAAAAUAAGUACAAAAUUAGUACAUAACUCUCCGAGUUCUUAUCGAUUCCUUCCAUAUCCUAUCAAAAUUCAAGAGUCUUCUUCAUCUACUUUAACUAUAGAAUAAAAAUAAUAAUAGCCUAAUAAUCUUGGUAGGGAUUUCAUGAGAUAAAGAAGUUGAAUUUAUAUAGAUAGAAUAGAAGGAAUAUCAAAAGAUAUCUUAAAGUGCUAGUUUAAAUAUUUAGAGGUUAUGAAUAUGAAAAGAUGAGAGUUAUGAAUAUUAAGAGUAUAAAAGUUGAAUAAGUAAUUAGAAAAUAAUAGUAAAUAAAUGAAGAAUAUGAAAAAGAAAAUUAAAGUUAGCAAACUAUGUAGAAAAAACAACUAAAGUUCUUAUCACGUAAUUAAGCAUCAAUGAAUUUAAAUUUGUGAAGCUAGAGUCAUUCUUUAAUAAUAAUCAAGAGGACAUUAUCAAUGUGUGCGUCUCCAUUUUGCAGAUUUGCACCCUUCAAAUUAUUAAAUUUCGUUAGUUAUCAUAAAGGAUAAUACUUUAUCCACAUAAAUUAUAUUAAAGGAAAAAGUUAUGAGAAGAG